RNAcentral lists this ribosomal RNA (253 nucleotides) under uncultured bacterium. RNAcentral's name for it is "partial 16S ribosomal RNA". It matches the Rfam family "Bacterial small subunit ribosomal RNA", at positions 524 to 776 of the family's 1533-position model. The record is from RNAcentral.
UACGUAGGGUGCAAGCGUUGUCCGGAAUUAUUGGGCGUAAAGAGCUCGUAGGCGGUUUGUCGCGUCUGCUGUGAAAACCCGAGGCUCAACCUCGGGCCUGCAGUGGGUACGGGCAGACUAGAGUGCGGUAGGGGAGAUUGGAAUUCCUGGUGUAGCGGUGGAAUGCGCAGAUAUCAGGAGGAACACCAAUGGCGAAGGCAGAUCUCUGGGCCACUACUGACGCUGAGAAGCGAAAGCAUGGGGAGCGAACAGG